RNAcentral lists this ribosomal RNA (253 nucleotides) under uncultured bacterium. Its description in RNAcentral is "partial 16S ribosomal RNA". It matches the Rfam family "Bacterial small subunit ribosomal RNA", at positions 524 to 776 of the family's 1533-position model. The record is from RNAcentral.
UACAGAGGUCCCAAGCGUUGUUCGGAUUCACUGGGCGUAAAGGGUGCGUAGGCGGUCGGGUAAGUCUGAUGUGAAAUCUCACAGCUUAACUGUGAAACUGCAUUGGAUACUAUCCGGCUCGAGGAAUGGAGGGGAGACUGGAAUACUUGGUGUAGCAGUGAAAUGCGUAGAUAUCAUGAGGAAGACCAGUGGCGAAGGCGGGUCUCUGGACAGUUCCUGACACUGAGGCACGAAGGCCAGGGGAGCAAACGGG